CCCAGAGGUAUUGAUGGGUGUGAAACAAGCUGCUUUGGCAGUACCCUGUUAUUACACCGACCCACGCAGAUGCGUGGGUUUUUUUU
RNAcentral lists this small RNA (86 nucleotides) under Enterobacter ludwigii. RNAcentral's name for it is "OmrA-B family". It matches the Rfam family "OmrA-B family". RNAcentral also lists the same sequence under 4 other names. The record is from RNAcentral. Lineage: Bacteria; Pseudomonadati; Pseudomonadota; Gammaproteobacteria; Enterobacterales; Enterobacteriaceae.